This 497-nucleotide ribosomal RNA is filed under the name uncultured bacterium. Its description in RNAcentral is "partial 16S ribosomal RNA". It matches the Rfam family "Bacterial small subunit ribosomal RNA", at positions 28 to 507 of the family's 1533-position model. The record is from RNAcentral.
GAUGAACGCUGGCGGCGUGCCUAAUACAUGCAAGUCGAGCGAACAGAUAAGGAGCUUGCUCCUUUGACGUUAGCGGCGGACGGGUGAGUAACACGUGGGUAACCUACCUAUAAGACUGGAAUAACUCCGGGAAACCGGCGCUAAUGCCGUAUAACAUUUAGAACCGCAUGGUUCUAAAGUGAAAGAUGGUUUUGCUAUCACUUAUAGAUGGACCCGCGCCGUAUUAGCUAGUUGGUAAGGUAACGGCUUACCAAGGCAACGAUACGUAGCCGACCUGAGAGGGGGAUCGGCCACACUGGAACUGAGACACGGUCCAGACUCCUACGGGAGGCAGCAGUAGGGAAUCUUCCGCAAAGGGCGAAAGCCUGACGGAGCAACGCCGCGUGAGUGAUGAAGGUCUUCGGAUCGUAAAACUCUGUUAUUAGGGAAGAACAAAUGUGUAAGUAACUGUGCACGUAUUGACGGUACCUAAUCAGAAAGCCACGGCUAACUACGUG